CCUACGGGGGGCUGCAGUGAGGAAUAUUGGUCAAUGGGCGGGAGCCUGAACCAGCCAAGUCGCGUGAGGGAAGACGGUCCUAUGGAUUGUAAACCUCUUUAGGCGGGGAGCAAUGCCGGGCACGUGUGCCCGGAGGGAGAGUACCCGCAGAAUAAGCAUCGGCUAACUCCGUGCCAGCAGCCGCGGUAAUACGGAGGAUGCGAGCGUUAUCCGGAUUUAUUGGGUUUAAAGGGUGCGUAGGCGGAUUUUUAAGUCAGCGGUAAAAUGUCCGGGCUCAACCCGGGCCGGCCGUUGAAACUGGGGAUCUUGAGUGGGCGAGAAGUAUGCGGAAUGCGUGGUGUAGCGGUGAAAUGCAUAGAUAUCAGGAGGAACACCGGUGGCGAAGGCGGCCUGCUGGACUGCAACUGACGUUGAGGCCCGAAAGCGUGGGGAGCAAACAGGAUUAGAUACCCCGGUAGUC
This 460-nucleotide ribosomal RNA is filed under the name uncultured bacterium. Its description in RNAcentral is "partial 16S ribosomal RNA". It matches the Rfam family "Bacterial small subunit ribosomal RNA", at positions 338 to 795 of the family's 1533-position model. The record is from RNAcentral.